RNAcentral lists this ribosomal RNA (484 nucleotides) under uncultured bacterium. Its description in RNAcentral is "partial 16S ribosomal RNA". It matches the Rfam family "Bacterial small subunit ribosomal RNA", at positions 28 to 523 of the family's 1533-position model. The record is from RNAcentral.
GAUGAACGCUGGCGGCGUGCUUAACACAUGCAAGUCGAACGGUGAAGCAGGAGCUUGCUCUUGUGGAUCAGUGGCGAACGGGUGAGUAACACGUUAGCAACCUGCCCCUGACUCUGGGAUAAGCGCUGGAAACGGCGUCUAAUACUGGAUAUGUGAUGUGACCGCAUGGUCUGCAUCUGGAAAGAAUUUCGGUUGGGGAUGGGCUCGCGGCCUAUCAGCGUGUUGGUGAGGUAAUGGCUCACCAAGGCGUCGACGGGUAGCCGGCCUGAGAGGGUGACCGGCCACACUGGGACUGAGACACGGCCCAGACUCCCACGGGAGGCAGCAGUGGGGAAUAUUGCACAAUGGGCGGAAGCCUGAUGCAGCAACGCCGCGUGAGGGAUGACGGCCUUCGGGUUGUAAACCUCUUUUAGCAGGGAAGAAGCGAAAGUGACGGUACCUGCAGAGAAAGCACCGGCUAACUACGUGCCAGCCGCCGCGGUAA